CGCUAUCGUCGCCUCCCUCCCGCUACCACUGCUUUCAUCCCGCUGCCAUAGUGAGGUUUGUAUUCUCUGACACUCGCUGCGCAUAGUGGUUCCGACUUAUCUGGGCUUUUCAUCUUCUCUUUGCGGUUCUGCCCUUCAACAAAAAUGGAUACAGACCGAAGUUGGAUGUAUAGGCGGCUCCAGGGCGGGUUGCUGUACCCUGGUUUUGAGGAGCGCGUCCAAGAGUUUGUAAAUUUCGCU
Long non-coding RNA from Mercurialis annua (annual mercury), 240 nucleotides. RefSeq lists it as uncharacterized. Lineage: Eukaryota; Viridiplantae; Streptophyta; Magnoliopsida; Malpighiales; Euphorbiaceae. The transcript has 3 exons. The record is from RefSeq and is a predicted model, not a curated record.